GUUGGCAUGAUAACAUUCUUGUGUUUCUCAACCUCAUAAACAAAAUAAGCUUGAAAGGCAAACCCAAAGGCCUGCAACAGAUGAGGAGCUGGGAACUCGUCAAUAAUACCACCUCUGCUUUCUACCCUCAUCUUUUACACAAGAUGCACCAGAGGAGCGCGUACAUGGCCCUACGCCUCACGGACGCCGCGUUAUUGCGGGCCCCGCGCGGCGUGUCUGGCAUCACGCGCCGCGACUGCGAGUGAGAACUCGACGAUCCUCUGUCCUCGCCAUCGGCACCGGAUGGCAGCAACGUCGUCGUCGUCGUCGUUGUCCAGUUGAACUCUGCUCAGGGUUGGAGCUCCGAGGUGCUGAAUCGUUCGUUGCAACUGAUGCAUCCCGUGAUCAUCACGGUGGUAGUGGCGAUGUUGUCGUGGAUGCCAUCUUUGAUAUCAGUGAUGGAUCUGUUGAUGUCGUUGCUUGGGGGGCAUGUGAAGGCUGUGAGGGGGCUGUUGAGGCGAUCACGGGGCGAGUCCAGAGCCCCUCGGGUUAUGACUCGGUGCUUCUUGGUGGCGUAGAUGCCGAACGCUAGAGAUGAGGAGAUUACCACCGCCGCCACCACACCCACUCGCUGGGCUGCGGUCAGGUUUGCAAUCUGUUGCGGCAGUUGAGCAUUAUGCCCUGACAUUCUUGCAGGAUUAUAGUACCAUCCUCUUUUCCUGGACUACGACGAAUCGGAAGAUUUCAACCGUAACAUUGUUAUCAUUUGUGGACCAAAGAGAGGGCAGUGUAGGUGCUGCAACUCUUCCGACACGCAGACUCAGAUCCUCCUCGCCACGCGUACAGGUCCGUGAAGGUAUGUGUACGUGUAAGAUAUACAACUGUAAUGUAUGAAAGAUGCGAAGACAUAUCUAAUAUUGUCGAAGCCAUUGGGUUGCCACUUCAAAAACCUCGCGUUCAUCACCACGAUGCAAAAAUUCUCCGUAGAGUUUAAGUCUACAGAAUUUGUCCAGUGCGUUCGUCUCUUCGACCACACUUCUCAUUGUUCCGCACAGGGCCCGAGAACCUGAGAGACGCGAGAAAUGUCUGGCUCAAUUCUGCAUUUGUGUUGAGAUCCGCUCAGGGACCCAAAUUGCAAUACCGACUUGGCGGCGCCGAGCAAAGUACCAGUUGAGGUUGGGCACACUGUUUUUGAAUUCUGCGGAAACUUACAUAUAAGUUGAGCAACUCUAUCCUUACUGAACGCUAACCAGGAGUGUGACUGAGAUAUGUGAGUGUUUAAGUCAUGGUUCUGUUGAGGGUAUAAAAGAGUUAAUCACAUUCUGUGUC
Molecule: long non-coding RNA, 1308 nt
Organism: Physcomitrium patens
Lineage: Eukaryota; Viridiplantae; Streptophyta; Bryopsida; Funariales; Funariaceae
Source: RefSeq, a predicted model, not a curated record